AGUCGCUGAUGAUAUUACAUGUAAGAGUAGUGGACAGAAGAGAUUUCUGAGCAAUUUCGUACUGAGACU
This is a small nucleolar RNA of Solea solea (common sole), 69 nucleotides long. RefSeq annotates it as small nucleolar RNA SNORD75. The transcript has a single exon. Lineage: Eukaryota; Metazoa; Chordata; Actinopteri; Pleuronectiformes; Soleidae. The record is from RefSeq and is a predicted model, not a curated record.